GAUAAACGCUGGCGGCGCACAUAAGACAUGCAAGUCGAACGGACUUAACUCAUUCUUUUAGAUUGAGAGCGGUUAGUGGCGGACUGGUGAGUAACACGUAAGCAACCUGCCUAUCAGAGGGGAAUAACAACGAGAAAUCGUUGCUAAUACCGCAUAAGCUAGUAGCAUCGCAUGAUGCAGCUAGAAAGGAGCAAUCCGCUGAUAGAUGGGCUUGCGUCUGAUUAGCUAGUUGGUGGGGUAACGGCCUACCAAGGCGACGAUCAGUAGCCGGACUGAGAGGUUGAACGGCCACAUUGGGACUGAGACACGGCCCAG
Molecule: ribosomal RNA, 315 nt
Filed under: uncultured bacterium
Lineage: Bacteria
Description: bacterial SSU rRNA
Rfam family: Bacterial small subunit ribosomal RNA
Source: RNAcentral